RNAcentral lists this small nucleolar RNA (131 nucleotides) under Sorex araneus (European shrew). RNAcentral's name for it is "Small nucleolar RNA SNORA68 (ENSSARG00000018847.1)". It matches the Rfam family "Small nucleolar RNA SNORA68". Rfam says of the family: U68 is a member of the H/ACA class of small nucleolar RNAs (snoRNAs) which act as guides in the the modification of uridines to pseudouridines. Lineage: Eukaryota; Metazoa; Chordata; Mammalia; Eulipotyphla; Soricidae. The record is from RNAcentral.
AGAGCGCCUCGACCUAGAGCCGCGGGUCCCUGUCACAGCAGCGGCCUAAACGAAGGUGCUGACCGCAGGUGGAUCUCGUGCCUUGGGAGGGCUGGGCAGUGCCCCUCAGUGAGUUUAGAGGUUCCACACCC